Molecule: non-coding RNA, 107 nt
Organism: Acanthosepion pharaonis
Lineage: Eukaryota; Metazoa; Mollusca; Cephalopoda; Sepiida; Sepiidae
Source: the annotation of a GenBank genome assembly
CCACAUCCAUUUGAAACACCGGUUCUCUUACGAUCACCGAAGUUAAGCAAUAUUGAGAUUGGUCUCUACAUAGAUGAGUGACUGCUUGAGAAUACCAGGUGCUGUAA